RNAcentral lists this long non-coding RNA (1445 nucleotides) under Felis catus (domestic cat). RNAcentral's name for it is "lncRNA (ENSFCAG00000050322.1)". The record is from RNAcentral. Lineage: Eukaryota; Metazoa; Chordata; Mammalia; Carnivora; Felidae.
CUCUUAUAUGGGCAGAGACUCUCACUGUUCACAUUCUCACAGUUAUGUGAUAGCUUAUUGGAACUUAAAACUCUGAGAUGGAUGACUGAAUAAGUGACUAUAAUUGUGAGGAGAAAACAUAAAAUUAUAUCUGUCAAACAAGAUUGAGGGAUUUUAUUCUUUUUAUUUUUUAAGGUACACUUCACAUCUUCACAGCAUGGAGCCCAAUGUGGAGGGCCUGAACUCAUGACCCUGAGAUCAAGACCUGAGCUGAGAUCAGGAGUCAGAUGCUUAACCCGCUGAGCCACUCAGAUACUCCAAGAUUGAGAGAUUUUAUAUAACUUCUAGAGGAACCUGGCUCAGAAGAAGAAUUUCACUCCUUGGGAUUUUGAAGAAUGACCGCCAUUGAUUUGGUAAUGGUAAUGAUCUUCUUAUUACAAAUUAUAGUUGGACUUCUGGGGAAUUUUUAUCUUCUUUACCAUUAUCUCUUACUUUAACGGGAUGGGGGUUCAGGUCCACAGAUUUGAUUCUCAAGCACUUGACUAUAGCCAACUCCUUGGUCAUUCUCUCUAAAGGAGUCCCCCACAUGAUGGCAGUUUGGGGACUAAAAGAAUUCCUCAAUGAUAUUAGAUCCAAAUUUGUUUUCUAUGUUCACAGAGUGUGCAGGAAUGUGUCCAUUGGCACUGUCUGCCUCUUGAGCCUCUUCCAGAUGAUCAUCAUCAGUCCCAGGGAUUCCAGGUUGUUCAGAGAUGGAAAGAGUAAAACACGGCCUCCCUUCCUGUACCUCCAGAAGGUCGGAACAUAUCAUGAUUCUUUCACAUGUGAAUACCUUUCUGAGAUACGAAUAUCUGUGUUGAUGGUGUUACUGUUACUUUAUGAAUAUGAGUGAGCUGUGUGAGCUUGUGUGUGUCAUAGUGUGUAUGACACACUGUGCAUAUGUGUAUAUACAGUGUGUGUGUUUAUAUAUAGUGAGUUUGGGACGAGUGAGAGUUUGUUAUAGAAAGUGUGAGUGUAUAUGUGUUCAAGUAAGUGAGCGCGUGCGACUGCAUUUGUCUGUGUGUGAACAUAUGUGUGCGUUUCCAUCUGUGUGGAAGGCUGGAAAGCACAUGUAGACGAGAAACUGAGCACCAUCAGGAUUCUAAUCCCACACUUGGAAAGUAGGGGCUUUAGAUAGAGGAGCUAGAUCAUAUUGUGGAUUUGUUUGAAGGAAAAACAAAAGGAUUAAUUUGGACUCAUAUUUUUAAAAUCAAUUAUGAAAGCAAUCAGGCUCAUUACUAAACAUUCAGCAAAAAACAUUAAAAAAAAAUAGGGGCGCCUGGGUGGCUCAGUCGGUUCAGCUCAGGUCAUGAUCUCGCGGUUUGUGGGUCUGAGCCCCGCCUUGGGCUCUGUGCUGACAGCUCAAAGCCUGGAGCCUGCUUCAGAUUCUGCGUCUCCCUAUCUCUCUCCCCUCCCCCGUUCAUGCUCUG